CAAUCCGUGUGUGUGUUGCAUGGGCUAGCCAGCUAGUUGGGUACGUCCGCGCGGUGGGGAUCAUGGCCUGGAUGUGCGCGUGAGUGUGCCUCGUAUUCCAUCUCGUAGGAUCAGGUAGUUGGUUGGUUGCAAAGGAGCCGGGGCGAUCCGAGCAGGCCGUGGCAUGCGUUUGAGCGCGGCCGGUGUGACAUGCGGAUCGCGUGCGUAGCUGGGCGAGAUAGGCAGUAGUGGUCGGUGCGUGCGUGGUAGCUAGCCUGGUGUGUGCGUCCGGGUAUAAAAAGCCCUUCCAUGUACUGAUUAAGUGCGCCGGAAGAGCCAGCGAUGUAGCCAUUGAAAAGAUAAAGAAGAUUAAGGCGUGUGUGCGCCCACGGCGGCGUUCGUGCGCCGGCCCGAAAUUUCUUGUGUCUUGUGUCUUCUUCUACCUCUAGUCGAGCGUGAGAGAGGGCUACGGUUCCAACAAUUGGUAUCAUGAGCUUGGUGUCUUGGGCGUGCUUGCCGUGCCAGAGGAGUGGCAGCGAUGGCGGCGCUCGCCGGCGGCUGCACGUCGGAGCUCCGGGCUGUGUGUCGGCCCAUGAACGUGGUCGGCGCUGUGGCUGUCAUGGCGCGUGGCGGAGGCGGCGGGCGGUGACGUCGUACGUGCGGCGACCGCGGAGGCCGCCGAGGCGCUGCGUGGUGGCGCGGCGGCGCAACACGGUGUGGAGGCCUGGAGGCACUGCAUGGCGGCAUGGAGGCCGUGGCGGUGCAGGGCAAUAAGACGCGGCGGCGAGCCGGGCGCGACCGGUGCGUGUUAUGGGUGCGCACUGAACGCGUCGAGCGCGUCGGGACCACGGGCGCGCGUACGAGCGUGCGGUUGACGUUGGGAGGAGGCGUAUAUCGCCGUGGUGCUCGAUUCCGUGCUCGAGUUCGGCUACGUCCUUCCGGCGUUUUCGCUGGCGGCUGCCAUGGCGGACGCGGAGGCGGCACGCGGUGAGCGUCUGGUGCUGUCGGGCUCGUCGGGCGCAUCGGAUGCGCACGGGACAUGCGGGACGCACUGGUGCGGUCGGGCUCGUCGGGCACGUCGGAUGUGUGCGGGACGUGCGGGGCGCAGAGGGACGCCAGGCGUGUCGCCGGCGGAGAAGGAGCUCGGCGUGUGUCGCCGGAGUCGUGACGGAGCACCGUGCGAUCGGCGUCGGUGCGUUAGGUCAGGUCUACGGGCUGAGUCACGGUUGUGGCGACAUCGAUGACGAGAGCUGCAACAACUCCGACGACGAUGUGAUGGUUUAGGGGGAGUAUGUUAGAAGUAAACCACGAGUGCCUGCAUGCGCGUCGUGUGGCAAUCCGUGUGUGUGUUGCAUGGGCUAGCCAGCUAGUUGGGUACGUCCGUGCGGUGGGGAUCAUGGCCUGGAUGUGCGCGUGAGUGUGCCUCGUAUUCCAUCUCGUAGGAUCAGGUAGUUGGUUGGUUGCAAAGGAGCCGGGGCGAUCCGAGCAGGCCGUGGCAUGCGUUUGAGCGCGGCCGGUGUGGCAUGCGGAUCGCGUGCGUAGCUGGGCGAGAUAGGCAGUAGUGGUCGGUGCGUGCGUGGUAGCUAGCCUGGUGUGUGCGUCCGGGUAUAAAAAGCCCUUCCAUGUAUUGAUUAAGUGUGCCGGAAGAGCCAGCGAUGUAGCCAUUGAAAAGAUAAAGAAGAUUAAGGCGUGUGUGCGCCCACGGCGG
This 1687-nucleotide long non-coding RNA is filed under the name Triticum aestivum (bread wheat). RNAcentral describes it as "long non-coding RNA (TAES_LNC011318)". The record is from RNAcentral. Lineage: Eukaryota; Viridiplantae; Streptophyta; Magnoliopsida; Poales; Poaceae.